AUAUUUAAAAACAUAUUUUAUUUCCAUUAUGGACAACAAAAAGAGAGUAACAGCUGAUGGUUGACUACAAGAAAAAUAUAAGAGAAAGAGGAGAGUGUCAAUAUUGCCCGGACAAGAAAACACAGGAAAAAAUGAAUUGCAUUGAGAAAGUGAUUAAAAGAAAUUGAUUCCGUUAUUUCUGAGAGAAAAAAACGCAUAUAUAUAUAGAAUACACCUAGCAACGAGUUUGCUUGUAUCACAUGGCUCUUGAGUCUGCACUUUUCAGGAUUUAACUCUUAAGAGAGCCACAGAAUUAUCAGAGCAGAGCCGAAAGCCAAGUAACUAUUCUUCUAAGUAGAACCAGAAACCUAGUUCUUCCCCAACUGCAAUGAAGAUUCGCUGGUGGGUGAAUGGGCAACUAAAGGCCAGAGAAGUUCUAUUAUUUGCCCUAAAUCACUCAACUAAUUAGUGGUCAUACUGGAAUCAGAACCAAGAUUUUGCAUUGUUAGGUUUUAAUUUUGUUACAUUUGCACUCUAACUGCACUGAAAACAGAAAAAAGAAAUGCGUAGUGCAGUUUCUAAAUUGCCACAGCUGGAGCACUUUAAGAGCUACAAUUGUCCAGUUAAGGCGGUAGUGGGUGGAUGGUGCUGCCAUGUUAAUUCGGUGGAAUAAAACCAGAGGUGAGUUAGGCCGGGCGCGGUGGCUCACGCUUGUAAUCCCAGCACUUUGGGAGGCCGAGGUGGGCGGAUCACCUGAGGUCGCGAGUUUGAGACCAGCCUGACCAACAGGGAGAAACCCCGUCUACCAAAAAUACAAAAUUAGCCGGCCCUGGUGGCAUGCGCCCGUAAUCCCAGCAACUCGGGAGGCUGAGGCAGGAGAAUCGCUUGAACCCAGGAGGCGGAGGAUGCAGUGAGCUGAGAUCGCGCCAUUGCACU
Molecule: long non-coding RNA, 915 nt
Filed under: Homo sapiens (human)
Lineage: Eukaryota; Metazoa; Chordata; Mammalia; Primates; Hominidae
Description: HSALNT0294469
Source: RNAcentral